GACGAACGCUGGCGGCGUGCUUAACACAUGCAAGUCGAACGGAAAGGCCCUGCUUUUGUGGGGUGCUCGAGUGGCGAACGGGUGAGUAACACGUGAGUAACCUGCCCUUGACUUUUGGAUAACUUCAGGAAACUGGGGCUCAUACCGGAUAUGAUCUCCUGCUGCAUGGUGUGGGUUGGACAGUUUCGGCGGUUGGUGAUGGACUCGCGGCUUAUCAGCUUGUUGGUGGGGUAGUGGCUUACCAAGGCUUUGACGGGUAGCCGGCCUGAGAGGGUUAACGGCCACAAUGGGACUGAGAUAGGGACCAGACGGCUACGGGAGGCAGCAGGGGGGAAUAUUGCACAAUGGGCGGAAGCGUGAUGCAGAAACGCCGCGUGCGGGAUGACGGCCUUCGGGUUGUAAACCGAUUUCGCCGGUGACGAAGCGGGAGUGACGGUAAUGGGUAAAGAAGCACCGGCUAACUACGUG
RNAcentral lists this ribosomal RNA (468 nucleotides) under uncultured bacterium. RNAcentral's name for it is "partial 16S ribosomal RNA". It matches the Rfam family "Bacterial small subunit ribosomal RNA", at positions 28 to 507 of the family's 1533-position model. The record is from RNAcentral.